RNAcentral lists this ribosomal RNA (239 nucleotides) under uncultured Lactobacillus sp. RNAcentral's name for it is "partial 16S ribosomal RNA". It matches the Rfam family "Bacterial small subunit ribosomal RNA", at positions 123 to 355 of the family's 1533-position model. The record is from RNAcentral. Lineage: Bacteria; Bacillati; Bacillota; Bacilli; Lactobacillales; Lactobacillaceae.
AACCCGCCCAAGAGAUCGGGAUAACACCUGGAAACAGAUGCUAAUACCGGAUAACAACAGAUGAUGCCUAUCAACUGUUUAAAAGAUGGUUCUGCUAUCACUCUUGGAUGGACCUGCGGUGCAUUAGCUAGUUGGUAGGGUAACGGCCUACCAAGGCGAUGAUGCAUAGCCGAGUUGAGAGACUGAUCGGCCACAUUGGGACUGAGACACGGCCCAAACUCCUACGGGAGGCAGCAGCC